Molecule: ribosomal RNA, 496 nt
Filed under: uncultured bacterium
Lineage: Bacteria
Description: partial 16S ribosomal RNA
Rfam family: Bacterial small subunit ribosomal RNA
Source: RNAcentral
ACUCAAAUGAAUUGACGGGGGCCCGCACAAGCGGUGGAGCAUGUGGUUUAAUUCGACGCAACGCGCAGAACCUUACCAGGGUUUGACAUCCUGCGACCGCCUCUUAAUAGGGGUUUUCCCGCAAGGGACGCAGAGACAGGUGCUGCAUGGCUGUCGUCAGCUCGUGUCGUGAGAUGUUGGGUUAAGUCCCGCAACGAGCGCAACCCUCGCCUUUAGUUGCCAUCAUUCAGUUGGGCACUCUAGAGGGACCGCCGGCGACAAGCCGGAGGAAGGUGGGGAUGACGUCAAGUCCUCAUGGCCCUUACACCCUGGGCUACACACGUGCUACAAUGGCAGUGACAGUGGGCAGCCAGCCAGCGAUGGUGAGCUAAUCCCAAAAAACUGCCCCAGUUCAGAUUGUACUCUGCAACUCGAGUACAUGAAGGUGGAAUCGCUAGUAAUCGCAGAACAGCAGGCUGCGGUGAAUACGUUCCCGGGCCUUGUACACACCGCCCGU